GAUUAACGCUGGCGGCGUGCCUAAUACAUGCAAGUCGAGCGAACAGACGAGGAGCUUGCUCCUCUGACGUUAGCGGCGGACGGGUGAGUAACACGUGGAUAACCUACCUAUAAGACUGGGAUAACUUCGGGAAACCGGAGCUAAUACCGGAUAAUAUAUUGAACCGCAUGGUUCAAUAGUGAAAGACGGUUUUGCUGUCACUUAUAGAUGGAUCCGCGCCGCAUUAGCUAGUUGGUAAGGUAACGGCUUACCAAGGCAACGAUGCGUAGCCGACCUGAGAGGGUGAUCGGCCACACUGGAACUGAGACACGGUCCAGACUCCUACGGGAGGCAGCAGUAGGGAAUCUUCCGCAAAGGGCGAAAGCCUGACGGAGCAACGCCGCGUGAGUGAUGAAGGUCUUCGGAUCGUAAAACUCUGUUAUUAGGGAAGAACAAAUGUGUAAGUAACUAUGCACGUCUUGACGGUACCUAAUCAGAAAGCCACGGCUAACUACGUG
Molecule: ribosomal RNA, 497 nt
Filed under: uncultured bacterium
Lineage: Bacteria
Description: partial 16S ribosomal RNA
Rfam family: Bacterial small subunit ribosomal RNA
Source: RNAcentral